Molecule: ribosomal RNA, 279 nt
Filed under: Triticum aestivum (bread wheat)
Lineage: Eukaryota; Viridiplantae; Streptophyta; Magnoliopsida; Poales; Poaceae
Description: partial small subunit ribosomal RNA
Source: RNAcentral
AUGCACUGGUUUUCAUGGUGGAAGUUGCGUGUGCCAAAGAAAGAAGGUGAAAUGGGAUUUUGAGAUAUUCAUUCUUUUAACCUAGCUCUACUUGCGAAACAGGCUUGGAGAUUAAUGGAUAAUCCGGAUUCCAGUUGCGCCCAUCUUUUCAAAGGAAAAUAUUAUCCAAAUUGUGAUAUUUUGAAUGCAAGUCUAAAAAAGUGUGCCUCACUCACAUGUCAAAGUAUCAUGUCGGGGGGUGCAGACACUAAAAAGAGGUCAUAUAUGGAGGAUCGGUGA